CCUACGGGGGGCUGCAGUAGGGAAUAUUGGACAAUGGGCGCAAGCCUGAUCCAGCCAUGCCGCGUGAGUGAUGAAGGCCUUAGGGUUGUAAAGCUCAUGCGCCAGGGACGAUAAUGACGGUACCUGGAUAAGAAGCCCCGGCUAACUUCGUGCCAGCAGCCGCGGUAAUACGAAGGGGGCUAGCGUUGUUCGGAAUCACUGGGCGUAAAGCGUAGGCAGGCGGAUCGUUAAGUCAGGGGUGAAAUCCCGAGGCUCAACCUCGGGACUGCCUUUGAUACUGGCGAUCUUCGAGUCCGGGAGAGGUGAGUGGAACUGCGAGUGUAGAGGUGAAAUUCGUAGAUAUUCGCAAGAACACCAGUGGCGAAGGCGGCUCACUGGCCCGGUACUGACGCUGAGAUACGAAAGCGUGGGGAGCAAACAGGAUUAGAUACCCCAGUAGUC
Molecule: ribosomal RNA, 441 nt
Filed under: uncultured bacterium
Lineage: Bacteria
Description: partial 16S ribosomal RNA
Rfam family: Bacterial small subunit ribosomal RNA
Source: RNAcentral